AAAGAACGCUGGCGGCAUGCCUCACACAUGCAAGUCGAACGAAGACUUCGGCCUUAGUGGCGCACGGGUGCGUAACGCGUGGGAAUCUGCCCCUCGGUUCGGAAUAACAGUUAGAAAUGACUGCUAAUACCGGAUGAUGACUUCGGUCCAAAGAUUUAUCGCCGAGGGAUGAGCCCGCGUAAGAUUAGGUAGUUGGUGGGGUAAAGGCCUAACAAGCCGACGAUCUUUAGCUGGUCUGAGAGGAUGAUCGGCCACACUGGGACUGAGACAAGGCCCAGACUACUACGGGAGGCAGCAGUGGGAAAUAUUGGCUAAUGGGCGAAAGCCUGAUCCAGCAAUGCCGCGUGAGUGAUGAAGGCCUUAGGGUUGUAAAGCUCUUUUACCAGGUAUGAUAAUGACAUUACCUGGAGAAUAAGCUCCGGCUAACUCCGUGCCAGCAGCCGCCGUAA
This 449-nucleotide ribosomal RNA is filed under the name uncultured bacterium. RNAcentral describes it as "partial 16S ribosomal RNA". It matches the Rfam family "Bacterial small subunit ribosomal RNA", at positions 31 to 523 of the family's 1533-position model. The record is from RNAcentral.